RNAcentral lists this ribosomal RNA (78 nucleotides) under Palythoa sp. yoron MM-2017. Its description in RNAcentral is "partial 28S ribosomal RNA". It matches the Rfam family "Eukaryotic large subunit ribosomal RNA", at positions 1 to 78 of the family's 3401-position model. The record is from RNAcentral. Lineage: Eukaryota; Metazoa; Cnidaria; Anthozoa; Zoantharia; Sphenopidae.
CGACCUCAGAUCGGGCGAGACUACCCGCUGAAUUUAAGCAUAUCAAUAAGCGGAGGAAAAGAAACUAACAAGGAUUCC